UACGGAGGGUGCAAGCGUUAUCCGGAUUCACUGGGUUUAAAGGGUGCGUAGGCGGAUAGGUAAGUCCGUGGUGAAAUCCUGCAGCUUAACUGCAGAACUGCCAUGGAUACUAUUUAUCUUGAAUGUCGUGGAGGUUAGCAGAAUAUGUCAUGUAGCGGUGAAAUGCUUAGAUAUGGCAUAGAAUACCCAUUGCGAAGGCAGCUAACUACGCGAUAAUUGACGCUGAUGCACGAAAGCGUGGGGAUCAAACAGG
Molecule: ribosomal RNA, 253 nt
Filed under: uncultured bacterium
Lineage: Bacteria
Description: partial 16S ribosomal RNA
Rfam family: Bacterial small subunit ribosomal RNA
Source: RNAcentral